GAUGAAGAACGCAGCGAAAUGCGAUAAGUAAUGCGAAUUGCAGAAUUCAGUGAAUCAUCGAAUCUUUGAACGCACAUUGCGCCCUCUGGUAUUCCGGGGGGCAUGCCUGUUCGAGCGUCAUUACAACCCUCAAGCUCUGCUUGGUAUUGGGCUCUGCCGGUCCUGGCAGGCCUCAAAGUCAGUGGCGGUGCCAUCCGGCUCCAAGCGUAGUAAUUCUCCUCGCUUCGGAGGCCGCGGUGCGUGCUAGCCAGCAACCCCCAAUUUUUUUCAGGUUGACCUCGGAUCAGGUAGGGAUACCCGCUGAACUUAAGCAUAUCAAUAAGCGGAGGA
This 330-nucleotide unclassified non-coding RNA is filed under the name soil metagenome. RNAcentral's name for it is "partial contains 5.8S ribosomal RNA, internal transcribed spacer 2, and large subunit ribosomal RNA". The stretch from base 1 to 120 matches the Rfam family "5.8S ribosomal RNA", at positions 35 to 154 of the family's 154-position model. The record is from RNAcentral.